This 117-nucleotide ribosomal RNA is filed under the name Spirochaetota bacterium. The record is from RNAcentral. Lineage: Bacteria; Pseudomonadati; Spirochaetota.
UCCGGUGGCUAUAGAGAAGAGGAAACACCUGUUCCCAUUCCGAACACAGAAGUUAAGCUCUUCAUCGCCGAUGGUACUGCGUGGGUAACCGCGUGGGAGAGUAGGGCGCUGCCGGGG